UCCCACCGAAGCUAUUGCUAUCAAACUUGAAAUACAAUCUUAUUAGUUUGUUUUAUGUCUUUACAAAUGUUCAAUACAUAUGUUUUGUGGAAACCUGAACUCAGAAUCGUCUAUAAUGUACCACUUCUAUAAAACAUAAGCGAUCAAUAUGUUUGGUUUAAACUUAUUUAUAACGACAUAGUAACAUAUUCACAUGUUACAUGACAUUAACAUAGGAUCAAUAUGUUUCAAUUAUGGUCCUCUUCCAAUUAGAAUAUGACUAUAGUACCUUGGCCUUAUUGAAUAUUAACAAUUUUCCCAUGGUGGCUUACUUUAUCCUGUCAAGCACUGGAAUAGUCGAGCGCGCUGUCUUCUGACAGCUCUUGUUGUUUUUCUCAUCGACAUUUCCAUUUUAACAUUUAGUAGCCAAAAGAGUCCAAGUCCCCUUGAUCUCGCAAGAACGUACUGCCAGAAUUACGUUGAUCACCAGGUUUUGAAGUAAAAACCGUCAAUGAUGUCAUAGGCGAAGGAGUCUUUGCCACUAAGCCUUUUAAAAAAGGAGACUUUCUUCUCGAAUACAAAGGGGAUCUGAUAACAUGAGUAAAACAUGCACGGCCAUUAGAAAAGGAGUAUGAAAAGGAGGGUCAAGGCAGCUUCAUUUACUUUUUUUAAUUCAGAGAUAAAUCUUGCUGCAUGGACGCUACCAACGAUAUAUUUCAUGAGGGUCGAAUGAUAAAUGAUGCCGAAAAUGGAGACGCAAAACAAAAUUGUGUAAUGAAAAUAGUUGGAGUCAACCAAACUCCCCAUCUAUGCACUUUCGCCGACAGAGACAUUGCAAUUGGCGAGGAACUCCGAUAUGAUUAUUGAGUACCAACACUUCCAUGGAGAAAGGCAACACGAUGACUACUAGAUCUACGGACAGUCAGGAACCAGGACAAACAACAUACAUACACACGGACGAAGUCGAUGAGACGGCAACACAAUGACUACUAGAUCUACGGACAGCCAGGAACCAGGACAAACAACAUCCGUACACACGGAAGAAGUCGAUGAGACGAAAAGGGUACUUCAAAUACUAGGAGAACAAAACAAGCAGCCAAAAAGCAAUGGAGUGAAAACGAAAAAGGAGCUGUUCACAGACAGGUUGAUCGUUUUUUGAUAAUGGGUAAAUAACCAGGGCAAAACGAAAUACUUGCAUGUUUUGAAAGUGAGAAUGACCUUCACAACAGAAGUUGGAAAAAUGUCAAAGACUUUUGCAGAAAUUUAAUUGAAACAAAAAAGCGACGGGGACUUUUAACUUAAAAAAAAAUUACACAUAUAAUGCACGUUGAGGAGAAUACGUUAAAGGAUGAAGUUGCCACAUGUGUUUUGUGUGUUUUCUUGUUCUAUAUACGCUUUUUGAAAACGAUAUAUGUGUGCUUAUUGUAUUUGAAUGUUUUAUUAAUACGGUUCAGUCAAAAACGAUAUUUGUUCAUAAUCAUAUCGCCGAAAAAAUUAGGAUUGGUAUAUAGUUCGGCAAAAGAGUGUUUCUUUGUACUUUCUAUUACGAGUUUCUACGAGUUACUCACUAUACAAGUUAUUUUUUACCCUAAACUUGGUGAAUAUGAAUGAAUAUAGCAAACAUGAUAACAAAUCAAUCUAGAAGGCUAAACGUUCAGAGAAGGCACACAAAAAUUCAGUCGGAUAAAUGGAAACAAACAUUUUGUUCAAGUAUAACAAACAAACACUUUUAGAUGUAAUAAGAUAAAUGUAAAUAACAUAAAAAAACUACUGCUAAACUACUGCUACAAUAUGAAGAAUACAAAUGAACAUUUUGUCAAUUUUACAAAAUUUGUUUUGAAUGGCAGGUGUCUGACUUGCAGUUGAGUACUUGAAAGUUAUUUUAAAGUAAAAAUUUACCAAAAUGUAAAUUAUUGCGUAAAUAUCGCACUAGAAUUGAUUAAAUAGUUGUUAAAUAUUACAAUAAUUUCCUUCACAGAUUUUUGUGCAUUUGU
Molecule: long non-coding RNA, 1973 nt
Organism: Dreissena polymorpha
Lineage: Eukaryota; Metazoa; Mollusca; Bivalvia; Myida; Dreissenidae
Exons: 6
Source: RefSeq, a predicted model, not a curated record